GUUGUAUGGUUAAGUGACUAAGCGUACACGGUGGAUGCCUUGGCAGUCAGAGGCGAUGAAAGACGUAGUAACUUGCGAUAAGCCCAGAUUAGGUAGUAACAACCAUUUGAGUCUGGGAUUUCUGAAUGGGGAAACCCACGUGCAUAAGCACGUAUCCUUACCUGAAUACAUAGGGUAAGGAGGCGAACCGGGGGAACUGAAACAUCUAAGUACCCCGAGGAAAAGAAAUCAACCGAGAUUCCGAAAGUAGCGGCGAGCGAAAUUGGACUAGCCCUUAAGCUUUACACGCGUUAGACGAACGGUCUGGAAAGUCCGACGAUACAGGGUGAUAGUCCCGUAGUUGACGACGUGUGUUCAGUGAAAUCGAGUAGGGCGGGACACGUGAUAUCCUGUCUGAAUAUGGGGGGACCAUCCUCCAAGGCUAAAUACUACUGACUGACCGAUAGUGAACCAGUACCGUGAGGGAAAGGCGAAAAGAACCCCUGUGAGGGGAGUGAAAUAGAACCUGAAACCGUGUACGUACAAGCAGUAGGAGCAGGCUUUGUCCUGUGACUGCGUACCUUUUGUAUAAUGGGUCAGCGACUUAUAUUCAGUGGCAAGGUUAACCAUCUAGGGGAGCCGUAGGGAAACCGAGUCUUAACUGGGCGUUCAGUCUCUGGAUAUAGACCCGAAACCAGGUGAUCUAGCCAUGGGCAGGUUGAAGGUUGAGUAACAUCAACUGGAGGACCGAACCGACUAAUGUUGAAAAAUUAGCGGAUGACUUGUGGCUAGGGGUGAAAGGCCAAUCAAACCUGGAGAUAGCUGGUUCUCCCCGAAAGCUAUUUAGGUAGCGCCUCGGACGAAUACUACUGGGGGUAGAGCACUGUUAAGGCUAGGGGGUCAUCCCGACUUACCAACCCUUUGCAAACUCCGAAUACCAGUAAGUACUAUCCGGGAGACACACGGCGGGUGCUAACGUCCAUCGUGGAGAGGGAAACAACCCAGACCGCCAGCUAAGGUCCCAAAUUACUACUAAGUGGGAAACGAUGUGGGAAGGCUCAGACAGCCAGGAUGUUGGCUUAGAAGCAGCCAUCAUUUAAAGAAAGCGUAAUAGCUCACUGGUCGAGUCGGCCUGCGCGGAAGAUGUAACGGGGCUAAGUAGUAAACCGAAGCUGCGGCAAUAUACUUUUGUAUAUUGGGUAGGGGAGCGUUCUGUAAGCGGUUGAAGGUGUGUGGUAACGCAUGCUGGACGUAUCAGAAGUGCGAAUGCUGACAUGAGUAACGAUAAAGGGGGUGAAAAACCUCCUCGCCGGAAGACCAAGGGUUCCUGUCCAACGUUAAUCGGGGCAGGGUAAGUCGACCCCUAAGGCGAGGCCGAAAGGCGUAGUCGAUGGGAAACGGGUUAAUAUUCCCGUACUUCUUACAAUUGCGAUGGGGGGACGGAGAAGGCUAGGUGGGCCUGGCGACGGUUGUCCAGGUUCAAGUGCGUAGGCUUGAGAGUUAGGUAAAUCCGGCUCUCUUUAAGGCUGAGACACGACGUCGAGCAUCUACGGAUGUGAAGUCAUUGAUGCCAUGCUUCCAGGAAAAGCCUCUAAGCUUCAGAUUGUAAGGAAUCGUACCCCAAACCGACACAGGUGGUCGGGUAGAGAAUACCAAGGCGCUUGAGAGAACUCGGGUGAAGGAACUAGGCAAAAUGGUACCGUAACUUCGGGAGAAGGUACGCUCUCGACGGUGAAGUCCCUUGCGGAUGGAGCUAUUGAGAGUCGCAGAUACCAGGUGGCUGCAACUGUUUAUUAAAAACACAGCACUGUGCAAAAUCGUAAGAUGACGUAUACGGUGUGACGCCUGCCCGGUGCCGGAAGGUUAAUUGAUGGGGUUAGACUUCGGUCGAAGCUCUUGAUCGAAGCCCCGGUAAACGGCGGCCGUAACUAUAACGGUCCUAAGGUAGCGAAAUUCCUUGUCGGGUAAGUUCCGACCUGCACGAAUGGCGUAAUGAUGGCCACGCUGUCUCCACCCGAGACUCAGUGAAAUUGAAAUCGCUGUGAAGAUGCAGUGUACCCGCGGCUAGACGGAAAGACCCCGUGAACCUUUACUACAGCUUGGCACUGAACAUUGACCCUACAUGUGUAGGAUAGGUGGGAGGCUUUGAAGCACGUACGCCAGUAUGUGUGGAGCCGUCCUUGAAAUACCACCCUUGUAGUGUUGAUGUUCUAACGUCGACCCCUAAUCGGGGUUGCGGACAGUGCCUGGUGGGUAGUUUGACUGGGGCGGUCUCCUCCCAAAGAGUAACGGAGGAGCACGAAGGUGGGCUAAUCACGGUUGGACAUCGUGAGGUUAGUGCAAUGGCAUAAGCCCGCUUGACUGCGAGAAUGACAAUUCGAGCAGGUGCGAAAGCAGGUCAUAGUGAUCCGGUGGUUCUGAAUGGAAGGGCCAUCGCUCAACGGAUAAAAGGUACUCCGGGGAUAACAGGCUGAUACCGCCUAAGAGUUCAUAUCGACGGCGGUGUUUGGCACCUCGAUGUCGGCUCAUCACAUCCUGGGGCUGAAGUCGGUCCCAAGGGUAUGGCUGUUCGCCAUUUAAAGUGGUACGCGAGCUGGGUUUAGAACGUCGUGAGACAGUUCGGUCCCUAUCUGCCGUGGGCGUUGGAAGAUUGAAGGGGGCUGCUCCUAGUACGAGAGGACCGGAGUGGACGAACCUCUGGUGUUCGGGUUGUGUCGCCAGACGCAUUGCCCGGUAGCUAAGUUCGGAAUCGAUAACCGCUGAAAGCAUCUAAGCGGGAAGCGAGCCCUGAGAUGAGUCUUCCCUGAUACUUUAAGUAUCCUAAAGGGUUGUCGGAGACUACGACGUUGAUAGGUCAGGUGUGUAAGUGCUGUGAGGCAUUGAGCUAACUGAUACUAAUUGCCCGUGAGGCUUAACCAUACAACACCCAAGGGGUUU
RNAcentral lists this ribosomal RNA (2916 nucleotides) under Vibrio parahaemolyticus. RNAcentral describes it as "bacterial LSU rRNA". It matches the Rfam family "Bacterial large subunit ribosomal RNA". Lineage: Bacteria; Pseudomonadati; Pseudomonadota; Gammaproteobacteria; Vibrionales; Vibrionaceae. The record is from RNAcentral.